RNAcentral lists this microRNA precursor (79 nucleotides) under Pongo abelii (Sumatran orangutan). Its description in RNAcentral is "miRNA". Lineage: Eukaryota; Metazoa; Chordata; Mammalia; Primates; Hominidae. The record is from RNAcentral.
AACUACACUUUAAGGGGACCAAAGAGAUACAUAGAUAUCAGAUACCUAUAUACCUGUUUGGUCUCUUUAAAGUGUAGUU